GACGAACGCUGGCGGCGUGCUUAACACAUGCAAGUCGAACGGAAAGGCCCUGCUUUUGUGGGGUGCUCGAGUGGCGAACGGGUGAGUAACACGUGAGUAACCUGCCCUUGACUUUGGGAUAACUUCAGGAAACUGGGGCUAAUACCGGAUAGGAGCUCCUGCUGCAUGGUGGGGGUGGGAAAGUUUCGGCGGUUGGGGAUGGACUCGCGGCUUAUCAGCUUGUUGGUGGGGUAGUGGCUUACCAAGGCUUUGACGGGUAGCCGGCCUGAGAGGGUGACCGGCCACAAUGGGACUGAGAUACGGCCCAGACUCCUACGGGAGGCAGCAGUGGGGAAUAUUGCACAAUGGGCGGAAGCCUGAUGCAGCAACGCCGCGGGCGGGAUGACGGCCUUCGGGGUGUAAACCGCUUUCGCCUGAGACGAAGCGUGAGUGACGGUAAUGGGUAAAGAAGCACCGGCUAACUACGUG
Molecule: ribosomal RNA, 468 nt
Filed under: uncultured bacterium
Lineage: Bacteria
Description: partial 16S ribosomal RNA
Rfam family: Bacterial small subunit ribosomal RNA
Source: RNAcentral